This 253-nucleotide ribosomal RNA is filed under the name uncultured bacterium. RNAcentral's name for it is "partial 16S ribosomal RNA". It matches the Rfam family "Bacterial small subunit ribosomal RNA", at positions 524 to 776 of the family's 1533-position model. The record is from RNAcentral.
UACGGAGGGUGCAAACGUUGCUCGGAAUCAUUGGGCGUAAAGCGCACGUAGGCGGCCUGUUAAGUCGGGUGUGAAAGCCUGUGGCUCAACCACAGAAUUGCCUUCGAUACUGUUAGGCUUGAGACCGGAAGAGGUAAGUGGAACUGCGAAUGUAGAGGUGAAAUUCGUAGAUAUUCGCAAGAACACCAGUGGCGAAGGCGGCUUACUGGUCCGGUUCUGAUGCUGAGGCGCGAAAGCGUGGGGAGCAAACAGG